GAUGAACGCUGGCGGCGUGCUUAACACAUGCAAGUCGAACGGAAAGGCCCAAGCUUGCUUGGGUACUCGAGUGGCGAACGGGUGAGUAACACGUGGGUGAUCUGCCCUGCACUUCGGGAUAAGCCUGGGAAACUGGGUCUAAUACCGGAUAGGACCACUUCUUGGAUGUUGUGGUGGAAAGAUUUUUCGGUGUGGGAUGUGCUCGCGGCCUAUCAGCUUGUUGGUGGGGUAAUGGCCUACCAAGGCGUCGACGGGUAGCCGGCCCGGGAGGGUGUACGGGCACAAUGGGGAUGAGAUACGGCCCAGACGCCUACGGGGGGGAGGAGGGGGGAAUAUUGCACAAAGGGCGCGAGCCUGAUGCAGCGAAGCCGCGGGGCGGAUGACGGGCUUCGGGUUGUAAAAUCCUUUCGCUAGGGACGAAGCGGUUUGUGACGGUACCUGGUGAAGAAGCACCGGCUAACUACGUG
RNAcentral lists this ribosomal RNA (467 nucleotides) under uncultured bacterium. Its description in RNAcentral is "partial 16S ribosomal RNA". It matches the Rfam family "Bacterial small subunit ribosomal RNA", at positions 28 to 507 of the family's 1533-position model. The record is from RNAcentral.